RNAcentral lists this ribosomal RNA (409 nucleotides) under uncultured organism. RNAcentral describes it as "bacterial LSU rRNA". It matches the Rfam family "Bacterial large subunit ribosomal RNA", at positions 2078 to 2485 of the family's 2925-position model. The record is from RNAcentral.
GGACAGAAAGACCCUAUGAAGCUUUACUGUAGUUUGGAAUUGGGUUCGGGCUCUUCUUGCGCAGCCUAGGUGGGAGGCUAUGAAGAUAAACUUUUGGGUUUAUUGGAGCCAACAGUGAGAGACCACUCUAGAGGAGCUAGAAUUCUAAUGGCGUUCCUUGAAGCAGGACGCUUGACAGUUUCAGAUGGGCAGUUUGACUGGGGCGGUCACCUCCUAAAAGGUAACGGAGGUGUGCAAAGGUUCCCUCAGGCUGGACGGAAAUCAGCCGUAGGGUGUAAAGGCAGAAGGGAGCUUGACUGCAAGACCUACAAGUCGAGCAGGGGCGAAAGCCGGCCUUAGUGAUCCGACGGUUCCGAGUGGAAGGGCCGUCGCUAAACGGAUAAAAGUUACUCUAGGGAUAACAGGCUGA